GGACAGGUUGAGUUUAAGGAAGUGAGCAGCCAUCCAGUUGGAAAUAGCAGAGAGGCAGUCAGAAACACGAGUCAAGGUGGGCGGAGAGAGAUCAGGGGAGGACAGGUAGAUUUGCGUGUCAUCUGCAUAUAAAUGGUAUUGGAUGCCAAAAGAGCUGAUGAGUUUACCAAGGGAGGCAGUAUAGAUAGAGAACAGUAGGGGGCCGAGGACAGAACCUUGGGGGACGCUGACAGGGAGGGGUUGGGGAGAAGAGGCAGAGCCAGAGAAAGAAACACUGAAGGAGCGCUGGGAGAGGUAGGAGGAGCACCAGGAGAGAGCAGUAUCCCGUAGACCAAAGUUACGGAGAAUGUGAAGAAGCUGUUGAUGAUC
Molecule: long non-coding RNA, 369 nt
Filed under: Pelobates cultripes (western spadefoot toad)
Lineage: Eukaryota; Metazoa; Chordata; Amphibia; Anura; Pelobatidae
Source: RNAcentral